GAUGAACGCUGGCGGCGUGCCUAAUACAUGCAAGUCGAGCGAACAGACGAGGAGCUUGCUCCUCUGACGUUAGCGGCGGACGGGUGAGUAACACGUGGAUAACCUACCUAUAAGACUGGGAUAACUUCGGGAAACCGGAGCUAAUACCGGAUAAUAUAUUGAACCGCAUGGUUCAAUAGUGAAAGACGGUUUUGCUGUCACUUAUAGAUGGAUCCGGGCCGCAGUAGCUAGUUGGUAAGGUAACGGCUUACCAAGGCAACGAUGCGUAGCCGACCUGAGAGGGUGAUCGGCCACACUGGAACUGAGACACGGUCCAGACUCCUACGGGAGGCAGCAGUAGGGAAUCUUCCGCAAUGGGCGAAAGCCUGACGGAGCAACGCCGCGUGAGUGAUGAAGGUCUUCGGAUCGUAAAACUCUGUUAUUAGGGAAGAACAAAUGUGUAAGUAACUAUGCACGUCUUGACGGUACCUAAUCAGAAAGCCACGGCUAACUACGUG
Molecule: ribosomal RNA, 497 nt
Filed under: uncultured bacterium
Lineage: Bacteria
Description: partial 16S ribosomal RNA
Rfam family: Bacterial small subunit ribosomal RNA
Source: RNAcentral